AUACCUGGUAAUGUGGAAAAUAGCAUAUAGAUAACGCGAAUUGUUUAGCACCGUAUAGAAUAUGAAAUCAUGUUAUAAGUGUGCGAUACAUCGGAUCUUACUUGAUUUUUCAACGGUGAAUACAAGUGAUUUACAAACGAAGCGGAGUUGAGGAAACGCCAAACGGAGAAUGUACGUUCACGUAUUCUCAAUUGCCGCCUUUCCUGUCUAGUGUUACAUAGGAAUGUGCCGAACAGCUGAGAAAUCAACUGAUGGACGCAAUCGAGCCACUGAAGGAAUACUGGGCAACGUUCGUUGGGGUCGUCGCAGCCAAUAGUCUGACCGCAUCUGUCUGCGAACUUGUGUCCGAAAUCCAACCAUUCUCUCUCGCAUAGAACUUGGAAUCCCUGAACGCCCAGAACAGAAGGGAUCAGCACAAGGAAUAAACACGAGUUGUUACUUAUCGCUGUCUGUUAAAAGCACAUACCUCCAUAGUGCGAUAAUAUGGAUCGAGCAGUAUUUGUGCCAACGCCACAAUCUGUGACGUCCUGUCCCACCCGUCGCUGCAAUGCACUAAUACUGGCCGACCGUCCCUCUCUAUCGCGGACGCCACGGUGACUGCUGCUCGUAACAAGCCCGACAUAUGUUGCAACCAUCGCGUACCUUCCAGUAAACUCAGCCAACUGCAAAGAAAGAGUUGGAUUAAUAAAGAAUCAGGAUAGUUUGUUAGAAAUUAUUGUUCCAAAUGAGACUCAUGGAAUUUGUUGCCCAGUUCAACAAUUUGAAGACACUCACUUUGGUUGAUCCGCGUCCGAAGCACAGAGCUGUCUCAGCGCGUGAAAGCUCUUCCGUAUCGAGUGAAUGUUCGGCAAAUUCAUAAACUGUAUGUCACAGCUCGGAUAAUACUCGGGGCAUUCGCAACCGCCGCCACGUGCCCGAUUCGCCACUGCUGUCGUAUAUGAUCUAGCGUCGACGAUUAAAACUUUCUGCAAAAUGAG
Odontomachus brunneus is the source of this 977-nucleotide long non-coding RNA. RefSeq lists it as uncharacterized. The transcript has 2 exons. Lineage: Eukaryota; Metazoa; Arthropoda; Insecta; Hymenoptera; Formicidae. The record is from RefSeq and is a predicted model, not a curated record.